RNAcentral lists this ribosomal RNA (351 nucleotides) under uncultured Allapsa. RNAcentral's name for it is "bacterial SSU rRNA". The stretch from base 143 to 351 matches the Rfam family "Eukaryotic small subunit ribosomal RNA", at positions 748 to 955 of the family's 1831-position model. The record is from RNAcentral. Lineage: Eukaryota; Cercozoa; Glissomonadida.
GAUUUCUGGACGAAGCGCUCGCCGCCGCCGCUUUCGCGGUGCGCUGGUGAGCUUUGCAUCGUCCAUCCUCCGGUGUCGAGGUCCCUGGUCCUUGAUUGGGUCAGGGUUACCUGGCGGGCCUUAAAACCCGCCUCUCGCCCGGUCUUUUACUUUGAAGAAAUUAGAGUGUUUAAAGCAGGCUCGGUGCCGUUUGAAUACAUUAGCAUGGAAUAAUGAUCUAGGACUUCGGUUCUAUUUUGUUGGUUUCUAGGAUUGGAGUAAUGAUUGAUAGGGACAGUUGGGGGUGCUAGUAUUCAGAGGCCAGCAGUGAAAUGCGAUGAUUCUCUGAGGACUAACUUAUGCGAAAGCAUU